UCUUCCAAGGUCCUAAUAAACGAAGGUAACUAUGGAAACUCAAGCACUCGGAACACUGGGCAAUGUAAACGCUCUCUGCUCGGCAGGGUUCCCUCACACGCAAACACCAUUUCUGAGAAAUCCUUAGUACACCUCCCCGAGGGGACCGCACAGACUCAGACCACAUCUAAACAAGCCACAGCCUUGCUCCAGUUCUCUUUGGAGUGGGGUUCACUGUUAUUACUUGCCAAGAUUAUGUGGGGGAACAAGAAAAGCUCUUAAACUUUUUUCUCAGCAUGGUGGUUGAAGAGAGACAAAGAAAGUGUUGGAAGCUAGAGAAACGGAGAGAUGUCGAAGGCAGCAAUGCAUUGGGGGACGUCUGAACCAUCCCAACCCAGGGCAACUCACCCACCUCGUCAAUGCAAAGUUGAGGAUACUGCAACUAUGCAACCUACAUGGGCCACACA
Macaca mulatta (Rhesus monkey) is the source of this 446-nucleotide non-coding RNA. Lineage: Eukaryota; Metazoa; Chordata; Mammalia; Primates; Cercopithecidae. The record is from RefSeq and is a predicted model, not a curated record.